Molecule: long non-coding RNA, 201 nt
Filed under: Lathyrus oleraceus (garden pea)
Lineage: Eukaryota; Viridiplantae; Streptophyta; Magnoliopsida; Fabales; Fabaceae
Description: Pisum sativum (pea) long non-coding RNA (PSAT_LNC025846)
Source: RNAcentral
CUGGCUUUUUCCGGAAAUUUGAUGUUCUUAAUCUCUGGGAUUUCUAAAAAAAUGUUUGAUGUUUGCUGUUUAGUUUUUAGGGUUUUUUCGAAAUCUUGUUGUUGUUCUUGUUUAGGGUUUUGAGAAAAAAUAUCUUUGCUGUUAACUUCUCAUGAAUCUUUUAUGGUGAAUUUCUUGAGUCUAAAAAAAAACUCCCUGCUG